CUUCCAGAGGUCAGUACUACUACACCUUCCAGAGGUCAGUACUACUACACCUUCCAGAGGUCAGUACUACUACACCUUCCAGAGGUCAGUACUACUACACCUUCCAGAGGUCAGUACUACUACACCUUCCAGAGGUCAGUACUACUACACCUUCCAGAGGUCAGUACUACUACACCUUCCAGAGGUCAGUACUACUACACCUUCCAGAGGUCAGUACUACUACACCUUCCAGAGGUGGAUGCAGGUGAUCCGUAGUGCUACCUGUUAAGCUAGUCGACCCCUCCUGACCUAGAGGAAGGAUCCUUACUGACCACGGAGCCAGUGAGGACUAAGAGGACACUGAUCAACCCUCUUCUAGAAGGCUCCUUCCUGUCCUUCAGGCCUCUUCUAGAAGGCUCCUUCCUGUCCUUCAGGCCUCUUCUUUCACCCUCUUCACCUCUGGAGUACCGGCUCACUUUACUCUAGGUUACUUUACUAACCGCCUGUCUGCGUUGCCACGACCGUUUUAGGUGGUUAGUAAAGUAUAUACUAAAUAUAUAUAUAGUAUUUAGUAUAUACUAAUAUACUAAACAAUAUUUCCAUAUUUUUGAGAACGUGGGAAUAGUCCGAGGGCACCUAAAGAACACUCAGGUCGAGUUUGGUUCAUUUGGUGACCUCCUGAAAGACAGGAGACCCACAUGACUGUAUCUCUGUGUACACUUCCCAGAUGUACAACUAGAUGUUGGAUAAAAUGAGUAAAUAUGAAACUAUUUGUGAAAAGAUGUAAUGUGAUGUUAGCCUUCUAAAUGAGAGUAUUGAUUUUCAUAUAAAAAGUUUAACGACAAGUUUAACAGACAUUACAUCAGGCGUCGUGAAAUCGCCUCUUCUUCCAUUGAGUAUAAAACCACUUCCUACAAAAUGUUACAUUAGGUCAGAACGCCGGGACGGAGUCCCCACGUUGAAAUGGCUACAACUCUAUAGGCCCUUAAAACAGGAAGUGGUAGCUACAUGUGAAAUGGUUAAGAACUACAACUCUAUAGGCCCUUAAAACAGGAAGCGGUAGCUACAUGUGAAAUGGUUAAGAACUACAACUCUAUAGGCCCUUACAUCAGACAACAGGAAGCGGUAGCUACAUGUGAAAUGGUUAAGAACUACAACUCUAUAGGCCCUUAAAACAGGAAGCGGUAGCUACAUGUGAAAUGGUUAAGAACUACAACUCUAUAGGCCCUUACAUCAGGAAACAGGAAGCGGUAGCUACAUGUGAAAUGGUUAAGAACUACAACUCUAUAGGCCCUUAAAACAGGAAGCGGUAGCUACAUGUGAAAUGGUUAAGAACUACAACUCUAUAGGCCCUUACAUCAGACAACAGGAAGCGGUAGCUACAUGUGAAAUGGUUAAGAACUACAACUCUAUAGGCCCUUACAUCAGACAACAGGAAGCGGUAGCUACAUGUGAAAUGGUUAAGAACUACAACUCUAUAGGCCCUUAAAACAGGAAGCGGUAGCUACAUGUGAAAUGGUUAAGAACUACAACUCUAUAGGCCCUUAAAACAGGAAGCGGUAGCUACAUGUGAAAUGGUUAAGAACUACAACUCUAUAGGCCCUUAAAACAGGAAGCGGUAGCUACAUGUGAAAUGGUUAAGAACUACAACUCUAUAGGCCCUUAAAACAGGAAGCGGUAGCUACAUGUGAAAUGGUUAAGAACUACAACUCUAUAGGCCCUUACAUCAGAAAACAGGAAGCGGUAGCUACAUGUGAAAUGGUUAAGAACUACAACUCUAUAGGCCCUUAAAACAGGAAGCGGUAGCUACAUGUGAAAUGGUUAAGAACUACAACUCUAUAGGCCCUUACAUCAGAAAACAGGAAGUGGUAGCUACAUGUGAAAUGGUUAAGAACUACAACUCUAUAGGCCCUUAAAACAGGAAGUGGUAGCUACAUGUGAAAUGGUUAAGAACUACAACUCUAUAGGCCCUUACAUCAGGAAACAGGAAGUGGUAGCUACAUGUGAAAUGGUUAAGAACUACAACUCUAUAGGCCCUUACAUCAGAAAACAGGAAGUGGUAGCUACAUGUGAAAUGGUUAAGAACUACAACUCUAUAGGCCCUUACAUCAGAAAACAGGAAGCGGUAGCUCCAUGUGAAAUGGUUAAGAACUACAACUCUAUAGGCCCUUAAAACAGGAAGCGGUAGCUACAUGUGAAAUGGUUAAGAACUACAACUCUAUAGGCCCUUACAUCAGACAACAGGAAGCGGUAGCUACAUGUGAAAUGAUUACGAACUACAACUCUAUAGGCCCUUAAAACAGGAAGCGGUAGCUACAUGUGAAAUGGUUAAGAACUUCAGCUCUAUAGGCCGAGGAGACCAUACAGCGUUGGCCACACGGCUAGAAAUGAUUCAACUCUAUAGGCCGAGGAGACCAUACAGCGUUGGCCACACGGCUAGAAAUGAUUCAACUCUAUAGGCCGAGGAGACCAUACAGCGUUGGCCACACGGCUAGAAAUGAUUCAACUCUAAAAACAUUUCCACCGAAGGAACAAAUGUUAGACGAGGUCUUUUCAGUCUGCAGCUGGAAAUGUACGUAGCCUUGGACGAAGAAUACAGACAACCUCCGAAAACACCUAUUCUAUGAGACAACACGGCGUACGCCUGACGUAUCCAUUAGGAACGCAACCCGAGACUUUUCUGUUGACUCUCUCCAUCAGACGGACCGGAAGACAAGACACUCGGAAAUAUGUAAAUUACAAUUUAUUUUCAAAGUACUAGCAAUUUCUAUGAGUCUCCCGCUCUUGAGCUGUCCCCACCCCCUUUCCUUUGUCUACCAAGCCGUCAUAUCGGUUUCGUCCACUAGGGACUUGUUUAGUACCCAAUGUAUAACUAAUUGUGUGUGUGUUGAUGUAAUUCUGUGAUUGAUUAAGUUAGUUAGUAAAUAAAUAAUUAAGACAA
Molecule: long non-coding RNA, 2920 nt
Organism: Salvelinus fontinalis (brook trout)
Lineage: Eukaryota; Metazoa; Chordata; Actinopteri; Salmoniformes; Salmonidae
Exons: 2
Source: RefSeq, a predicted model, not a curated record